This 240-nucleotide unclassified non-coding RNA is filed under the name soil metagenome. RNAcentral describes it as "partial contains 5.8S ribosomal RNA, internal transcribed spacer 2, and large subunit ribosomal RNA". The record is from RNAcentral.
AACGCACGAGACCUGCGGACCUGCGGAGGGAUCAUUACAGAGUUACUACUCCAAACCCAUUGUGAACCUUACCUAUGUUCUGUUGCCUCGGCGGCGUGGUCAGCGCCCCUCUGAAAAGAGGACGAUGCCCUCCCGCCGGCAGCACCAAACUCUUUGAAUUUUACAGCGGAUUACAGUUCUGAUUUGAAAACAAAAAAACAAGUUAAAACUUUCAACAACGGAUCUCUAGAUCGGAAGAGC